RNAcentral lists this transfer RNA (66 nucleotides) under Epuraea guttata. Its description in RNAcentral is "tRNA-Tyr". Lineage: Eukaryota; Metazoa; Arthropoda; Insecta; Coleoptera; Nitidulidae. The record is from RNAcentral.
GAUGGAAUGGCCGAUUAUAGGCGAUAAAUUGUAAAUUUAUUUAUGAAACUUUCAUUUCUUCCAUCA